RNAcentral lists this ribosomal RNA (608 nucleotides) under uncultured Bacilli bacterium. RNAcentral's name for it is "bacterial SSU rRNA". It matches the Rfam family "Bacterial small subunit ribosomal RNA", at positions 68 to 656 of the family's 1533-position model. The record is from RNAcentral. Lineage: Bacteria; Bacillati; Bacillota; Bacilli.
UUUCACCGGAGCUUGCUCCAUCGAAAGAAAAAGAGUGGCGAACGGGUGAGUAACACGUGGGUAACCUGCCCAUCAGAAGGGGAUAACACUUGGAAACAGGUGCUAAUACCGUAUAACACUAUUUUCCGCAUGGAAGAAAGUUGAAAGGCGCUUUUGCGUCACUGAUGGAUGGACCCGCGGUGCAUUAGCUAGUUGGUGAGGUAACGGCUCACCAAGGCAACGAUGCAUAGCCGACCUGAGAGGGUGAUCGGCCACACUGGGACUGAGACACGGCCCAGACUCCUACGGGAGGCAGCAGUAGGGAAUCUUCGGCAAUGGACGAAAGUCUGACCGAGCAACGCCGCGUGAGUGAAGAAGGUUUUCGGAUCGUAAAACUCUGUUGUUAGAGAAGAACAAGGAUGAGAGUAAAAUGUUCAUCCCUUGACGGUAUCUAACCAGAAAGCCACGGCUAACUACGUGCCAGCAGCCGCGGUAAUACGUAGGUGGCAAGCGUUGUCCGGAUUUAUUGGGCGUAAAGCGAGCGCAGGCGGUUUCUUAAGUCUGAUGUGAAAGCCCCCGGCUCAACCGGGGAGGGUCAUUGGAAACUGGGAGACUUGAGUGCAGAAGAG